RNAcentral lists this unclassified non-coding RNA (912 nucleotides) under Hevea brasiliensis (rubber tree). The record is from RNAcentral. Lineage: Eukaryota; Viridiplantae; Streptophyta; Magnoliopsida; Malpighiales; Euphorbiaceae.
GAGUAUGCUGCUUUCUACAAGAGCUUGACUAAUGAUUGGGAAGAGCAUCUUGCUGUGAAGCACUUCUCUGUUGAGGGUCAGUUGGAGUUCAAGGCUGUCCUUUUUGUUCCAAAAAGGGCUCCUUUUGACCUCUUUGACACAAAGAAGAAGCCCAACAACAUCAAGUUGUAUGUUCGCCGUGUGUUUAUCAUGGAUAACUGUGAUGAGUUGAUUCCUGAAUAUUUGAGCUUUGUGAAGGGUAUUGUGGAUUCUGAGGACCUUCCUCUCAACAUCUCCAGAGAGACAUUGCAGCAGAACAAGAUCCUAAAGGUUAUUCGCAAGAAUUUGGUGAAGAAGUGUGUUGAGCUUUUCUUUGAAAUUGCUGAGAACAAGGAGGACUACAAUAAGUUCUAUGAGGCGUUCUCUAAAAACCUCAAGCUUGGAAUCCAUGAGGAUUCUCAGAACAGGGCAAAGUUUGCUGAACUGCUGAGGUACCACUCCACUAAGAGUGGUGAUGAGAUGACCAGCUUGAAGGACUAUGUAACCAGGAUGAAAGAAGGCCAGAAUGAUAUUUACUACAUUACUGGUGAGAGCAAGAAGGCUGUUGAGAACUCACCCUUCCUUGAGAAGCUGAAGAAGAAGGGUUAUGAGGUUCUUUACAUGGUUGAUGCUAUUGAUGAGUAUUCAAUUGGUCAAUUGAAGGAAUUUGAGGGUAAGAAGCUUGUUUCUGCUACCAAGGAAGGCCUCAAGCUUGAGGAGACUGAAGAUGAGAAGAAAAAGCAAGAAGAACUAAAGGAGAAGUUUGAGGGUCUUUGCAAGGUGAUUAAGGAUGUUCUAGGUGACAAGGUUGAGAAAGUGGUGGUCUCUGACCGUGUAGUGGAUUCUCCUUGCUGCUUGGUUACUGGAGAGUAUGGUUGGACUGCCAACAUGGAG